RNAcentral lists this ribosomal RNA (301 nucleotides) under uncultured bacterium. Its description in RNAcentral is "partial 16S ribosomal RNA". It matches the Rfam family "Bacterial small subunit ribosomal RNA", at positions 509 to 807 of the family's 1533-position model. The record is from RNAcentral.
CAGUAGCCGCGGUAAGACAGAGGAUGCAAGCGUUAUCCGGAAUGAUUGGGCGUAAAGGGCUCGCAGGCGGUUUCUUAAGUCUGAUGUGAAAGCCCCCGGCUCAACCGGGGAGGGUCAUUGGAAACUGGGAAACUUGAGUGCAGAAGAGGAGAGUGGAAUUCCACGUGUAGCGGUGAAAUGCGUAGAGAUGUGGAGGAACACCAGUGGCGAAGGCGACUCUCUGGUCUGUAACUGACGCUGAGGAGCGAAAGCGUGGGGAGCGAACAGGAUUAGAUACCCGAGUAGUCCCUGUCUCUUAUAC